GAGACGCUGGCGGCGUGCUUAACACAUGCAAGUCUACGAGAAAGUUUGGUCUCGGCUGAACGAGUAAAGUGGCGAACGGGUGAGUAACACGUAGGUAACCUGCCCCCGGGUUUGGGAUAACUUCGCGAAAGCGGAGCUAAUACCGAAUAAUGCAGCGGACUCUCAUGAGUAUGUUGUUAAAGUGGGCUUCGGCUCACGCCUGAGGAUGGACCUGCGUCCCAUUAGCUUGUUGGUAAGGUAACGGCUUACCAAGGCGACGAUGGGUAGCCGGCCUGAGAGGGUGUCCGGCCACAUUGGCACUGGAACACGGGCCAGACUCCUACGGGAGGCAGCAGUGAGGAAUAUUGCGCAAUGGGCGAAAGCCUGACGCAGCAACGCCGCGUGAGCGAUGAAGGCCUUCGGGUUGUAAAGCUCUGUCAGCGGGGACGAAUCCCCUUCCGGGUAAAUAGUCCGGAAGACUGACGGUACCCGCAAAGGAAGCCCCGGCUAACUUCGUGCCAGCGGCCGCGGUAAUAC
This 516-nucleotide ribosomal RNA is filed under the name uncultured bacterium. RNAcentral's name for it is "bacterial SSU rRNA". It matches the Rfam family "Bacterial small subunit ribosomal RNA", at positions 33 to 526 of the family's 1533-position model. The record is from RNAcentral.